Molecule: ribosomal RNA, 476 nt
Filed under: uncultured organism
Description: partial 16S ribosomal RNA
Rfam family: Bacterial small subunit ribosomal RNA
Source: RNAcentral
ACACUCCUACGGGAGGCAGCAGUGGGGAAUUUUGGACAAUGGGCGAAAGCCUGAUCCAGCAAUGCCGCGUGAGUGAAGAAGGCCUUCGGGUUGUAAAGCUCUUUUGUCAGGGAAGAAACGGUGAAAGCUAAUAUCUUUUGCUAAUGACGGUACCUGAAGAAUAAGCACCGGCUAACUACGUGCCAGCAGCCGCGGUAAUACGUAGGGUGCAAGCGUUAAUCGGAAUUACUGGGCGUAAAGCGUGCGCAGGCGGUUUUGUAAGUCUGAUGUGAAAUCCCCGGGCUCAACCUGGGAAUUGCAUUGGAGACUGCAAGGCUAGAAUCUGGCAGAAGGGGGUAGAAUUCCACGUGUAGCAGUGAAAUGCGUAGAUAUGUGGAGGAACACCGAUGGCGAAGGCAGCCCCCUGGGUCAAGAUUGACGCUCAUGCACGAAAGCGUGGGGAGCAAACAGGAUUAGAAACCCCAGUAGUCCCAUGA